GUGCUCCACAUGAGUAAGGAAAAUAACAAUUCAGAGUGACACCUGAAUCCUCACUGCUUAUGUGAGAUGACUUUUUGAGUGGGUAAAGGUUGCCCCAAAGGUGAUCUCCUACUUUGUGGGAUGCCUGGGUGUCACAAUCUGACCA
Molecule: small nuclear RNA, 145 nt
Organism: Otolemur garnettii (small-eared galago)
Lineage: Eukaryota; Metazoa; Chordata; Mammalia; Primates; Galagidae
Gene: U12
Rfam family: U12 minor spliceosomal RNA
About the family: Although the U12 sequence is very divergent from that of U2, the two are functionally analogous.
Source: Ensembl